GCUUUACUGUAGCUUGACAUUGGAUGCCGAUUGCGAUUGUGCAGGAUAGGUGGGAGGCUUUGAAACCGGGUCGUUAGGCCAGGUGGAGCCGACGGUGAGAUACCACUCUAUUGCAAUUGGCGUUCUAACCGAAUUCCGUAAUCCGGGUUUGGGACAGUGUCUGGUAGGCAGUUUGACUGGGGCGGUCGCCUCCUAAAGAGUAACGGAGGCGCCCAAAGGUUCCCUCAGGUUGGUUGGAAAUCAACCGUGGCGUGUAAAGGCGUAAGGGAGCUUGACUGCGAGACCUACAAGUCGAGCAGGGAGGAAACUCGGGCUUAGUGAUCCGACGGCUGCGAAUGGAAGUGCCGUCGCUCAACGGACAAAAGUUA
Molecule: ribosomal RNA, 368 nt
Filed under: uncultured organism
Description: bacterial LSU rRNA
Rfam family: Bacterial large subunit ribosomal RNA
Source: RNAcentral